Long non-coding RNA from Myotis brandtii (Brandt's bat), 1808 nucleotides. RefSeq lists it as uncharacterized. The transcript has 4 exons. Lineage: Eukaryota; Metazoa; Chordata; Mammalia; Chiroptera; Vespertilionidae. The record is from RefSeq and is a predicted model, not a curated record.
GAUGAGAGCUCCUGUUGCUCCACAUCCUCGCUGGGGUUUGGUGUCGUCAUGUUCCGGAUUUUGGCCAUUCUAAUAGUGAUGACACUGUGGCUACUUCCAACUCCCGCGUCCCCAGGCAAAGCUGUGAACUUCUGCUGCGUGACUUUCAUGGACUCCUGUGUGUGUUUCUGGGAUGUGCACCCAAGGGCAGGAUUCUUGGGCAGGAAGAAGAUUUAUGCUUAGGCUAAGCACCGUCUGACUGCACGCUGGGAUGACUGCUGUCGCCCACAUGCCCACAGCUGGGCCUGAGAGACCGCUUUCCCCACAUCAUCCCUGGCACUUGGAUCAUCUGAUCUCCUGUUUUCAUCUGCAUUUCUCUAGGGACAGAGAAAUGGGUUAUUUUCCAUCUUAUUGUGUUGCCUCCUCCACUAGACUGUGCAUUCUCUAAAGAUAGGGAAUGUAUUCCAGAAUCCAAGACCAGAGCCUGGCACACUGUGGGCAAUAAUGAAUACGUGUGGACUGAGUGACUGAUUGACUGACUGACUGAAUUAAAAGGCUAAUACACAGCCUCCUACACCUACUUUGUACCAAACCUUGACCGAGAUGGUGGUGGUACAUGUGUGCAUGUGUGUGUGCAGAUGAGGGGACACAUCAGUCCUACACCUCAAUCUACUUGGAGAAAAAGACCAAAAUAGUUAGAACUUAUUGAGGGCCUACUUUUUUGUCCAGGACUCAUAGAUAUGUAAUCAUAAUCUUAAGUUCAGCAAGGUAAGUAUUUCUCGCUCACAUGCAAGGUGUUUGCAAGCAUGGCAGAUCUGGUGUGGUAGCCAGCCUCCCAGGUAGCCCUCAAUGAUCCUUGUCUCCUGGUAUUCACCUCCCUGCAUAGGCCCCUCUGAAUCAGAUCUGACUGUGUGACCAAAAGAAUAUGGCAAAAGUCACAGUGUGUGACUCCCAAAUCCAGCUGAGAAAGGCAUUGAGCUUCUGCCUGUUCUCUUGAAUCACUCACUCUGGGGAUAGCAGCCACCAUGACAUGAGGACACUCAAGUUGUCCCGUGGAGAGGUCUAUGGAAAGGGGAACCGAGGUCCCCAGCCUACAGCCAGCACCAACCUACCAACCACGGCUUUUCUCAAGGUCACACAACCAGAAAGUGAUGGAAGCAGACUUUGGCCUGACAGCAAUUUUCCCCACUUGCCUCAUCCCAUAGCAAUUCUUAGAGAACAAGAUCGCGACCCAGCCUUCGUUGCAGGUAGGGCAGCCACGUGGAUAAUUCUGGCCAAUGAGAUGAAGAUAGAAGUUCCUAUGGAGGGUCCACUUCCUCAGAUGAAAUGGCAGUCUCCUGAGAAGGCUUUGCCUUUUACCUUCACCUUCUUUCUGCCUGGAAUGGAGAUGCAGUUCCUGGUGUAGCAGCCAUCUUGAUGCCAUGAGGACCAAAAUCACAUGCUCAGGAGGGCAGAGUGAAACGCCGGAGCAGCUGGGUCCCUGAUGUUCUCCUUGAACAGCCACACUGGCCCCUGAUCUCUUGGGGGGGCAGGGGACUCUCCUAUUUGGUGAAGCCACCGUAUUGGGUUUCUAUGAUAUACAGUCAAAUGCAAGCUGUUAUCAACACAUCCAGGCCUCCUAAUAAUGUUCGUACCAUUAUCAUCUAUAGUGCCUGUGUGCCAGGCACUGAACUAACAAUGCCUCACACUCACUGUCUCCUUGCAUUCUCACCAUCCUAGAAUUAUCAUCAUGUUACAGAAAGGGAAAUUAGGGCUCUGAGGUGUUAAGCUAGGAGAGGGGCAGAGUCAAGGUUGUGGGUUCGAUCUCUAGUCAGGGCACAUACAAGAAG